UUUAUGGAGAGUUUGAUCCUGGCUCAGGAUGAACGCUGGCGGCGUGCCUAAUACAUGCAAGUCGAGCGAACAGACGAGGAGCUUGCUCCUCUGACGUUAGCGGCGGACGGGUGAGUAACACGUGGAUAACCUACCUAUAAGACUGGGAUAACUUCGGGAAACCGGAGCUAAUACCGGAUAAUAUAUUGAACCGCAUGGUUCAAUAGUGAAAGACGGUUUUGCUGUCA
RNAcentral lists this ribosomal RNA (227 nucleotides) under Staphylococcus epidermidis. Its description in RNAcentral is "partial 16S ribosomal RNA". It matches the Rfam family "Bacterial small subunit ribosomal RNA", at positions 1 to 217 of the family's 1533-position model. Lineage: Bacteria; Bacillati; Bacillota; Bacilli; Caryophanales; Staphylococcaceae. The record is from RNAcentral.